GCUAAGGAUUUAGUACCUGUAGGAAUUGGUAGCUAUGGACUUAGUACCUGUUGAACAUUGGUAGCUAUGGACUUAGUACCUAUUAGAUAAAGACUGGUAGCUAUGGAUUUAGUACCCGAUGAAUAGACUAUAGCAGCUAUGGAAUUAGUGCUUUAUGAACGAACAUUGGCAGCUAUGGAUUUAGUGCCAGUCCCAUAACCCUGGAAGUAAGGGACUUCGGAAUAAACGAAUGCAGGAUAGAUGACUCUUAGGUUAAAUCCUUAAAGAGUAAAGAAGAUAAUGGGGAUGGGUAAUUGGGUUGAUUGUUUGAUUGAACAUAAUAAUUAUAUUAUUGUGGGUUGAAAACCCUAUGUACUCACCAGGUUUCCCAACCUGACCCACUCAGUUUAUGUAUAUCACAGGUGACGAAGUGAAGUGACAUUACACUGAGAGAUUUAAAAGAGAUGUAGAUCACUAGUGUAAAUCAUUGUAAUUCUGUUUAUGCUUAUGUUUCGGUAUUAACGAUGACAUCCCAAACAUUUUAAAAUGAAAUAAAUACGUUUCUUCGAAAAUGUUUUAAUAACGUAUUUACCAUGUUUUUCUGGGAACAAAUUCCGCAACCUUUUUAUAAAAUGAAGUACUCUGAUUUUUAUAAAGCAUAAACAAAAUCGGUCUUUUCUGGCCGUGAUUUUGGGGAUGUCACAGUUGGUAUCAGAGCAUUAGUUUAAGCGAACUAGGAAUAUGGAUUUAUUUCUAGACUUAAACUUAGAAUGCUAAGCGAUGAUUGUGAGGUGUGAGCACUAGCUUAUUUUAGGAAUUGUGCCUAAAAUGCUUUUAUGUGCUAAAUGCUUUGUGCAUGAUAUGUUGUUAAUUGUUCGGAUCUAUGGUCUGUUGCCGACCGGAUCUGGAAACCUUAUGUGUUUAGGAUUCUAAACGUACGACUACGGUAUUAGAACUAGCAUGUAAAUGUUUCGGAGUGAUAAGGAUGAUUUAAACGUCAAGUAAAGGUCUAAAUUCACCUUAUUCGGUGUAUAGAUCGAGAUGGUAAGGACCCGUAGCGGAAACGUAAACGCAAAUGGGAACAGGAACCAACCCCCAGUGGUUCAGCAAAUACCUGUUGUAGAAGAAGUUGCGCCUGAGCCAGUCACCAUGGCUGGAGUUCAAGCCAUGAUUCGGGCUAUGUUGGCUGAACAAAGGGAAGAAAUGAGACGGAUGUUGAAUAGGGACGAACCUACUAUGCCCAUUGAGCAACCCGAACUGAUUCCCGAGCAAUCUGAGGAAGGGAACUACAGCCGCCAAGUGAGUCAAGUUGGGACUCAAGGUGAGCAAAGGGAUGGCCCAGAAGGGAGAAACAACAAGGAUGGGCGGAUGUACAAGAACUUCUUGGGUGCGAAACCACCAAGCCUCUCAGGAAGCCCAAAGCCGGUUGAGGUUAUGGAUUGGAUCUCUGAGAUGGAGAUGGUGUUUGAGAGCUGCAGCUGUAAUGAGAAACAGAAGACUGUCUUUGCAGUAAGACAGCUGAAAACUGGAGUCUUGAGCUGGUGGAAGCUAUUGGCAGAUACGAUGCCACGAGGAGAAGCCUUAAGGAUGUCGUGGGAAGAGUUUUUGGAACAGUUGAAAAUGCAGUACUGCUCGGAGGUAGAUCUGAUAGACCUAAACAACGAGUUUCAGAACCUGAAGAAAGGGAAGAUGAGUGUUGAUGAGUAUGCCACCGCAUUUACCGAGAGGAUGAAGCUAUUUCCCUACUUGGUGCCUACUGAACUCUCCAAGAUUGAUAGGUUUGCUAACGGACUGCCCACUGACUUUGGUCCAAUGGUCAAAAUGGCAACUACCUUAAAAGCAGCUAUUAGGGCAGCUAAGAACGUAGAGGCCCAGAUAAGAGAAAAGGGUCUAGAAAAAGAUAAGGCAGGAGAGAAGCGAAAGUUUGAGGGAUCUUCGAGGUCGAACAAGGAAAGCAAAUUCUCAAAACUCGGAGGAGCAGAUGGAGGUGAAACAAGAUGGUGUGAUAAAUGCAAGAAGAAGCAUGGUGGGAAGUGCAACGAAGAAGUGACUUGUUACAAGUGUGGGAGGACGGGUCACUAUUCCAAAGACUGCACACAUAAUGACAAAGUAUGCUACGGAUGUGGAGGCAAGGGGCACAUGUCCAGAGACUGCCCAAGGAAAAAUAAAGCAGCAAGACCAGAAACGCCACCAAGGCCAAGGGCAUUUCACAUGAUCCUCGACGAAGCAGAGAACCAUGCGAGGAAUCAAGAAUGAGGACUUCUUACCCGAAGAUCGGAUUAUGCAGUAGCCAUAGUUUCGUAUGAUGUAGCCUAGUAGAGGCAUAGUCUAGGGUGAACUUGAACACCUAUGUAAUCGUUUCAAGAAUUAAUAUAAAACCUUCGUUUUGUUAUCUGAUGUGUCGAAUGAUUGUGUGAUUUGCUGCAUGGUGACUUGGGAAACUGCGAGACAAUACUUGGGACGAGUAUGAGUAGGUGUGAAUGGUAGUAGAGGCCUAUACUACCGGAAGCACAGGACUCACACUUGGAUCAGGGAAAGUCACAAGGUUACCAAGAAGCUAGUAAUUGAUUUCGUUUUAUUCAAGUGUGUUGUUACCAUCGUUUCGGUAAUGACUAAGAAGAUUGUUGAUAUUCCGACCCUAGUGGUCAUAUCGAAUCGAGUCCGACUACGAUGAGUAUGUUGUGUGGUUCAGAGAACCAAGUUUGAUGUAGCGUCCGACUUAAACCAAACGGUUGAAAUCAAAGCGAUCAAUAGAAGUAUCGCACUCGUUGUUAAAGAAGUUGGUGGCUAGAAAUGCCUAAUGUUAAAGUGUGAUUAUAUCACAUUAGAACAUGAAGGAAGGCAUAGUCUGUUUUAGAAUUUAACUCUAAGAGACCUAAGUCUAAGUGUUGCAACAUACGAUGAUAGGUCAUUAGAAUAUGACACAUCGAUCUAUAGUAGUAAUAAAAGAACUUAUCUCAAGUCCGUAUCCAGCAAGGAUCGAGAUUGUGACUUGAAGGUCAUAAUUUGGAGUCUAACCUGAGGUAGAGAGCAGGUGCACGAUCGAGUACUCUUACAGUCAAUGAGUUUAAGAGAUAGAAUCGAAGGAAUGUAGAAGUUAUAAUUAUUACCUAGGAUGAAGAGAUGACGUAUGGAGUCAUUAUACGACCCUGUUUCGUUGAUGAUUCCGGGACGUAAUCAUCCUAAGGGGGAGAUAAUUGUAACGCCCGCAAAUCUGGGCUAGUCAAAUUAGAGGCAAUAGGGGUCGAAAACGACUUUUCGACAAAAGAUUAUUUAGAAUAAAUAAUCUUAACCAAGUUGUAGAGUAUGUUACAAGGUUUUCGUACAUAUAAAGAACGCCGAAAACCGAGUUAUAACGAAGAAGUUAUGACCCGUUGAAGUUUCGCGACGGAACCGGCACGAUACCGGGAAGCGUAAAUAGUGAAUUUACGAUAGAGCGAGAUUUAGCCUUAGCGAUCUAAACGAAAGUCGUAGAAUAUGUUAAACUAAGAACAUCGAUAAAAAGAACGCCCAAAUCUGACUUCGUAUGAGGAAGUUAUGAUUUUUCUAAGAUUUAGCAUAGCAGUGCACAGCCCGAAAUCUGAAUUUUAGAUCGGUCGAUUUUUAGCCGACGGGAUCUAAAUGAAAGUUGUAGUACUCGUAAAUACCAACGCGUGGAUAUAAAGAACGUCGAUAAUAGAGCUCGUAUGCAAAAGUUAUGGACGAAGCUUAGUCCCUACUUUUCGAGCGCGGCGAAUUCGAUACAGUUUUGUAAAUACGAGAUAGAAUGAGAAUUAGCCAACGAGGUCUAAAUGAGAGUUGAAGAUCUCAUUAAUAGGAACUCAACGGUAAAAAGACAGACAAAAAUGGAGCUCGUAUGCGAAAGUUAUGGACGAAGCUUAGUCCCUACUUUUCGAGCGCGGCGAAUUCGAUACAGUUUUGUAAAUCCGAGAUAGAAUGAGAAUUAGCCAACGAGGUCUAAAUGAAAGUUGAAGAUCUCAUUAAUAGGAACUCAACAGUAAAAAGACAGACAAAAACGGAGCUCGUAUGCAAAAGUUACGGACGAAGCUUGGAGACUACUUUACUAUACACUUCCUAUAAAUACAAGGGUGAACUCCUCAUAUUUUCUUCACACCAUAAGCCUUUCUUUCUCUCUCUAACUUCUCUCUAACCUCCCUAAACCCCUCCCAAGUCUAGGGAACCUCCCUAUCACGAGAAGAAAGCCCCGGAGCGCCCGACGGCUCCGAGAAGAAAAGCUUUCGGCUCGGAAACGCUGCUCCAGCGAAGCCCGGUUUUUAAUAAAAACCCGCUGUAAGUGAGCUACGCCUAUAGUAUAUUUAAUAUAGAUUUUAUUUAAUUAUAGUAACAUUGUUAGGACCUUAAAAUAAUUAUUUAGGCUAUUAUUAUGAGUUAUAUUGAGUGUUAUUUAACGCUUAUAUAAUAGUAAUAAUAGCUAGACUAUUAAAUUAGUCUCGUCAAGCGUUAGACUAAACUCUAGUGGUAAUGAUACUAGGUUUCGUCAAGGGAUAAUUGUUUUAAGAGUAACGAAGUGCUGUCCGAGUGCCGACUCACCACCUUUCAGGUGAGUGCAUAGUCCCUUUCAUCUUACACAUAGAUAUGAAGUAUUUUAUAUAAACUACGUGCUAUGUGUGCACAUUAUCUGAAUACUUGCUGUCUAUGCUGGUUGAACGUUUUAUACAUGUUUUAAAGGACUUAAACUGUAUACGUAUUUUAUAUAUACGAAAAUGUUGGGUAUGAGAUGGGUAGAUGAAUGAUGAGAGAUAGAAGAUGACGUGAGUAUACAUUGGCAGCUAUAGACUUAGUGCCUAUGGGACAAACACCGGUAGCUAUGGACUUAGUACCUUUUAGACGUUGGUAGCUAUGGAUUUAGUACCUGUUGGGAAUUGGUAGCUAUGGACUUAGUACCUAUUAGUUAGACGCUGGUAGCUAAGGACUUAGUACCUGUUGAACAUUGGUAGCUAUGGACUUAGUACCUAUUAGAUAAAGACUGGUAGCUAUGGAUUUAGUACCCGAUGAAUAGACUAUAGCAGCUAUGGAAUUAGUGCUUUAUGAACGAACAUUGGCAGCUAUGGAUUUAGUGCCAGUCCUAUAACCUUGGAAGUAAGGGACUUCGGAAUAAACGAAUGCAGGAUAGAUGACUCUUAGGUUAAAUCCUUAAAGAGUAAAGAAGAUAAUGGGGAUGGGUAAUUGGGUUGAUUGUUUGAUUGAACAUAAUAAUUAUAUUAUUGUGGGUUG
Molecule: long non-coding RNA, 5214 nt
Filed under: Lactuca sativa (garden lettuce)
Lineage: Eukaryota; Viridiplantae; Streptophyta; Magnoliopsida; Asterales; Asteraceae
Description: long non-coding RNA (LSAT_LNC008763)
Source: RNAcentral